CUUACCUUCCAGCAUGACUGUGAGGCCUCCCUAGCCAUGUGGAACUCACUGUGCCUCCAGGAGAGAGGGUUUUUUUCUGGUCGCCCCUGCAGACAUGACCCUGCUUGUCCCUGGCCAAUCCCAGGGCCAGACUGGAUUGUUGGCCCUCUGACUCACCCUAGAAGGCCUGGGGCUGGAGAGGCCUGGAACUCCUCGGAGAAGCCAAAGAUUUUGCAGAAUCAAGGAUGGAUGGAGUAUCAAAAUAAGGAACGGAAAAAACUGAAGAUAUACUAAGGAUUAAGGCCCAGGUUCAUCUAGUGUCCCCAGGUGCCAGGCAUUGUGCUGUGACUGUGAUGUGAAAAAAGAGGCCAGGACAACUGGGUCUCAUUCAGUCAGACUGGAGUGCAGUGGUGUGAUCACAGCUCAUGCAGCCUUGACCUUCCAGACUCAAACAAUCCUUUCAUGUAGCUGGGACCACAGGUGCAUGCCACCAUGAUCAGUUUAUUUUUAAAUUUUUUGUAGUGAGCCAUUGAGCCCAGCAUAAUCCUUCUAAUUUAGUUCCUUAUCUGAAAAGCGAGGACAUUGUGACAAUGAUCUCAGAACACUGUUGUGAAAAUUAAAUUCUCAAUAUAAUGUCUGGUGCCCAAAAAGCAUUAAAUUGAAGUUGGCUUAAACUAUAAUCACAUAAACACCAUGUGGUCUUUUUUUUUUUUUUGAGACACAGUCUAGCCCUAUCGCCCAGGCUCAAGUGCGGUGGCGUGACCUCGGCUCACUGUAACCUCCUCCUCCCAGGUUCAAGCGAUUCUUAUGCCUCAGCCUCCUGAGCAGCUGGGAUUAUAGGCGUGCGUCACCACAUCCAGCUAAUUUUUGUAUUUUUUGUAGAGACAGGAUUCACCAUGUUGCCCGGGCUGGUCUCAAACUUCUUCUGACCUCAGGUGAUCUGCGUGCCGCGGCCUCCCAAAGUGCUGGGAUUACAGGCAUGAGCCACCGCGCCCGGCCCACCAUGUGGUCUUAAUAGCAAGCAUGGAGUACCAAACAAAAA
Molecule: long non-coding RNA, 1021 nt
Filed under: Homo sapiens (human)
Lineage: Eukaryota; Metazoa; Chordata; Mammalia; Primates; Hominidae
Description: LHRI_LNC825.1
Source: RNAcentral